RNAcentral lists this ribosomal RNA (372 nucleotides) under uncultured organism. Its description in RNAcentral is "bacterial SSU rRNA". It matches the Rfam family "Bacterial small subunit ribosomal RNA", at positions 526 to 896 of the family's 1533-position model. The record is from RNAcentral.
CGUAGGGUGCGAGCGUUAAUCGGAAUUACUGGGCGUAAAGUGUGCGCAGGUGGCUGAGCAAGUCGAGUGUGAAAUCCCCGGGCUUAACUUGGGAAUUGCGCUCGAAACUACUUGGCUCGAGUGUGGCAGAGGAAGGUGGAAUUCCAGGUGUAGCGGUGAAAUGCGUAGAGAUCUGGAGGAACACCGAUGGCGAAGGCAGCCUUCUGGGCCAACACUGCCGCUCAUGCACGAAAGCGUGGGGAGCAAACAGGAUUAGAUACCCUGGUAGUCCACGCCCUAAACGAUGAUGACUAGUUGUUGGGGGAGUUAAAUCCCUUAGUAACGCAGCUAACGCGUGAAGUCAUCCGCCUGGGGAGUACGGUCGCAAGAUUA